RNAcentral lists this ribosomal RNA (433 nucleotides) under uncultured bacterium. RNAcentral describes it as "partial 16S ribosomal RNA". It matches the Rfam family "Bacterial small subunit ribosomal RNA", at positions 29 to 507 of the family's 1533-position model. The record is from RNAcentral.
AACGAACGCUGGCGGCAUGCCUAACACAUGCCAGUCGAACGAGACCUUCGGGUCUAGUGGCGCACGGGUGCGUAACGCGUGGGAACCUGCCCUUAGGUUCGGAAUAACUCCCCGAAAGGGGUGCUAAUACCGGAUAAUGUCUUCGGACCAAAGAUUUAUCGCCUUUGGAUGGGCCCGCGUUGGAUUAGCUAGUUGGUAGGGUAAAAGCCUACCAAGGCGACGAUCCAUAGCUGGUCUGAGAGGAUGAUCAGCCACACUGGGACUGAGACACGGCCCAGACUCCCACGGGAGGCAGCAGUGGGGAAUAUUGGACAAUGGGCGAAAGCCUGAUCCAGCAAUGCCGCGUGAGUGAUGAAGGCCUUAGGGUUGUAAAGCUCUUUUACCCGGGAUGAUAAUGACAGUACCGGGAGAAUAAGCUCCGGCUAACUCCGUG